GGAUUCUUAGCCGUGGAUCCAUCUAGGGAGCCAAGAAUAUUCCUUUAAGAUAAUACUUUUCUACAGCUAAGCUUCCAUAAUUUCUCCGUUAGAAAAAUGAUCUCAAGUGCAAUGGUUUGUUUAACAUUGACGUUCGAUUAAGGAGAACAGUGGUGAUGAUCAAGUUGAUUCCUUUUUCAGUUUUUUGUUUGUUUACUUGUGGCAUUAGGUGGCGACAGGUUCAUGUGGGCUGGUCUUUUGUGUGAAACGUGAAUUGUACGAAUUUUAAUCGUAGCUUUUAACGUUUAUAUAAUAUUAUGUGAUAGAUUUGACUAAUAUAGUAUUUAGAGAGGACCUGUUGCUGGGAAAACAGCUAGUAGUUAGGACUUAGGACCCUUAGCAGAAGAGUAGGAGAAGCUGAGCCAAAUCCAUGGCUUUAACAUCAAAUGCAGGUUAUGUUCUCAUCAUAUUUCUAUCGCUUAUACUUGUGUCGACUGCAAGGCCAAUUUAUCCUCUACCAAGUAAAAUAAGCCAUGGUAGCAAACAGCCUUUACAGACAUCUCGUCCAUAUAAUAUUGCACAUCGAGGAUCAAAUGGAGAGAUUCCUGAGGAAACUGCUGCUGCAUACAAGAGAGCCAUUGAAGAAGGAGUAGACUUCAUAGAAGCAGAUAUCUUAUCCUCCAAAGAUGGUGUUCUUAUAUGCUUCCAUGAUGUUACCCUUGAUGACACAACUGAUAUUGCAGAGCACAAGGAGUUCGCAAAUCGUAAAAGGACCUAUGAUGUGCAAGGGGUCAACACUACUGGCUUUUUCACUGUUGAUUUUACCCUUGAAGAACUUAAGACAUUGCGGGUGAAGCAGAGAUAUCUGUUCCGGGAUCAACAAUACAAUGGAAAAUUUUCUAUUAUCAGUUUUGAAGACUUCAUAUCAAUUGCACUGGAUGCACCAAGAGUCGUUGGAAUAUACCCAGAAAUCAAAAAUCCUGUACUUAUCAACCAGCAUGUAAGAAAUUUCUUUCUAUGAGAUGUCUUGAAGAAUCACAAUGUGUUUAACUUUGCUAACAGUGGCAGUUUGGGAGCCAUUACUUUUCUGAAACAUUAUGAGAUAACUGUAGCAAUCUAUGUUGCCUUUCUCCAUUUUUCAUAAGAACCAAACUUUGUGGAAACAUGAGAUUUAGUGUUUGGUUAUACAAUGUUUGAAUCAUACCAACAGGUGAAGUGGUCAGAUGGGAAGCGAUUUGAGGACAAGUUUGUUGGUACUCUUAAGAAGUAUGGAUAUAACGGUUCAUAUAUGUCAAAGGAUUGGCUGAAACAACCUAUUUUUAUCCAAUCCUUUGCUCCAACUUCACUCGUGUAUAUAUCAAAUCUGACAGACUCGCCCAAAAUCUUCUUGAUUGAUGAUGUUACCAUUCCAACUCAAGAUACUAAUCAGUCUUAUUGGGAAAUCACUUCUGAUGCUUAUCUGGACUACAUUAAGGACUACGUGGUGGGCAUUGGACCCUGGAAGGAUACAGUUGUUCCUGUGGUGAAUAAUUAUUUGCAAGCAUCUACAGAUCUUGUUGUCAAAGCACAUUCCCAUGAUCUACAGGUGCACCCAUACACUUACCAGAAUGAGGAUUCAUUCUUGCACUACAACUUUCAUCAAGACCCAUAUGAAGAAUAUGAUUAUUGGAUUAACACAGUAGGAGUUGAUGGACUCUUUACAGACUUCCCAGGCAGCCUCCAUAAUUUUCAGGAAUGGACUUCACCUCUCUCUAAAGAUGAAUGUGCAUCUAAACUAUUGCAUAAGAUAGCAUUGUUGACCGCUUCAUAUAAAAAUUGAUAAGAGAACCAAAUUUAGUUAAUUGUCAUCAUUAGGUUCAGAUUCUCCAGGCAACAUUUCUUAUUUGUUCAUAGGAGAGUUUCCGGCUUCCGUAUAUUGAAUUUCCUGCUGAGAAUAAUAAAUGACGUUUGAUGAGUUAUUCAAUAGAAAAUGUUAUAUUUUGCUUGUUUCACUGUAUUCUCAGUCAUUAGAUGACAAUUUUAAUUACUAAUCUCAGAACCUUUUCUUUUCCUUAAAAUUAAUUAUUCUGGGAAAU
RNAcentral lists this unclassified non-coding RNA (2054 nucleotides) under Hevea brasiliensis (rubber tree). The record is from RNAcentral. Lineage: Eukaryota; Viridiplantae; Streptophyta; Magnoliopsida; Malpighiales; Euphorbiaceae.